Caretta caretta (loggerhead turtle) is the source of this 828-nucleotide long non-coding RNA. RefSeq lists it as uncharacterized. The record is from RefSeq and is a predicted model, not a curated record. Lineage: Eukaryota; Metazoa; Chordata; Testudines; Cheloniidae.
UGGGGCCCUUUCUCUGCCUUUUGCCUAUUGAGUUUCAACGCGGCCCCACUUUCUAAGAUCUAAGUCCAUAAUAAUAAUUUUUUACGCCUUAAAACUGAAGGAGAGUGAUGCGGCUGGAAAAGAAAAUCUAUUUUCGUUUGUAUAGAGGAGGGGCGGAAAGGGAAUGUACUGUACGGUCAGGUUUGGCUGCAAAUGUACAUUGUGUAAACUGUACAUUCAGAGUAUUUUUCACUUGUGAGGGAGGUGCACAACUGGUUCAUUAUGAUAUUUUAUGUGGACGUGUACACUCCUCUAGAAAAGGUCUUGCAGACAAGUAAGAGGAUAUGGUCCUUGCCCUGAUGUGUUUGCAAACGGAGCAUCUGAUUUUUCAUGUUGUUAAGAUCUCUCGGUUCCCAUUGCGUUGGAGGCACUCAGCAUCUGCGGUGAGGAGCUUAGUCCCUUGUGAGCACUGUUUUCUGUGACCUGGACUCAUCUUCCACUCUUCCCCAGUACAUGCGUAAUAACUCACAGAAGAUGGGACAAAGGAACCGGAAAAUUCUGCAAGGAUCACCUCAAUGAGUUUCCUGACAAGUGUUCCUAUUACAGGGAAGACUUUUGAGGAGACAGAGCAGGGGGAGGCUCACAGCUCCCAACACUGAAAAUUCUGGGGAACUUCUAAGUACAAGGAGAAAGGUCACUGCGUUCAGGGGCUACUUUGGUCUCUUCUCCACCCCGGCAGAACAGAAAACAUUGCCUUUGGCUGACUCUCUGGUGGCGUAGUAGUAGCAGUUGUAAAGUGGAUUCUACAGAUAUUGAUGAUGCCCCAUGGAUAAUAAAUACAAAAACUCA